RNAcentral lists this ribosomal RNA (408 nucleotides) under uncultured bacterium. RNAcentral describes it as "partial 16S ribosomal RNA". It matches the Rfam family "Bacterial small subunit ribosomal RNA", at positions 28 to 526 of the family's 1533-position model. The record is from RNAcentral.
GACGAACGCUGGCGGCGUGCUUAACACAUGCAAGUCGAACGAAGUGGCGAACGGGUGAGUAACGCGUAAUCAACCUGCCCUUCAGAGGGGGACAACAGUUGGAAACGACUGCUAAUCCCGCAUACUGAAGGAGGGGAUUGCGGUGUAUUAGCUAGCUGGGGGGGUAACGGCCCACCAAGGUGAUGGUCAGUAGCCGGUCUGGAGGGGUGGACGGCCACAAUGGGACUGGGGCAAGGCCCAGACUCCGACGGGGGGCAGCAGUGGGGGAACUUCCGAAAUGGAGGGAAGUCUGACGGAGCAACGCCGCGUGAGAGAUAAAGGCCUUCGGGUUGUAAAGCUAUGUUAAUCGGGGCGCGGUACCGGAAUAGAAAGCAACGGCUAACUACGUGCCAGCAGCCGCGGUAAUUC